RNAcentral lists this ribosomal RNA (433 nucleotides) under uncultured bacterium. RNAcentral's name for it is "bacterial SSU rRNA". It matches the Rfam family "Bacterial small subunit ribosomal RNA", at positions 29 to 506 of the family's 1533-position model. The record is from RNAcentral.
ACGAACGCUGGCGGCAGGCUUAACACAUGCAAGUCGAACGGGUGUAGCAAUACAUCAGUGGCAGACGGGUGAGUAACACGUGGGAACCUUCCUCGUUGUACGGGACAACUCAGGGAAACUUGAGCUAAUACCGUAUACGUCCGAGAGGAGAAAGAUUUAUCGCAAUGAGACGGGCCCGCGUCGGAUUAGCUAGUUGGUGGGGUAACGGCCUACCAAGGCGACGAUCCGUAGCUGAUCUGAGAGGAUGAUCAGCCACACUGGGACUGAGACACGGCCCAGACUCCUACGGGAGGCAGCAGUGGGGAAUCUUGGACAAUGGGCGCAAGCCUGAUCCAGCCAUGCCGCGUGAGUGAAGAAGGCCUUAGGGUUGUAAAGCUCUUUUGCCAGGGACGAUAAUGACGGUACCUGGAGAAUAAGCCCCGGCAAACUUCGU